AGUGAACGCUGGCGGUAGGCCUAACACAUGCAAGUCGAGCGGCAGCACAGUAAGAGCUUGCUCUUACGGGUGGCGAGUGGCGGACGGGUGAGGAAUACAUCGGAAUCUACUUUUUCGUGGGGGAUAACGUAGGGAAACUUACGCUAAUACCGCAUACGACCUACGGGUGAAAGCAGGGGAUCUUCGGACCUUGCGCGAUUCAAUGAGCCGAUGUCGGAUUAGCUAGUUGGCGGGGUAAAGGCCCACCAAGGCGACGAUCCGUAGCUGGUCUGAGAGGAUGAUCAGCCACACUGGAACUGAGACACGGUCCAGACUCCUACGGGAGGCAGCAGUGGGGAAUAUUGGACAAUGGGCGCAAGCCUGAUCCAGCCAUACCGCGUGGGUGAAGAAGGCCUUCGGGUUGUAAAGCCCUUUUGUUGGGAAAGAAAAGCAGCAGGUUAAUACCCCGCUGUUCUGACGGUACCCAAAGAAUAAGCACCGGCUAACUUCGUG
Molecule: ribosomal RNA, 492 nt
Filed under: uncultured bacterium
Lineage: Bacteria
Description: partial 16S ribosomal RNA
Rfam family: Bacterial small subunit ribosomal RNA
Source: RNAcentral